CACCAAGGGACAGAUGAGUGGGAAAGAAGAGGAAAACAUUCUAGAAGACAGCACAGCCUGUGCAAAGGCAUGGGGGCACCUCUUUCCUUCAUGUUACCCUUAGACAUGCAGAGCUACAACAUACAAGAUCUGACCCUGGCCUGGAGGAGGUGGAGGCAAUAUCCGGAGAGAGAGAGAGAGAGAUUCCUAUAGAAUACAAGACAAGACUAUCACAAUGGUUGCAAUACGAAGUGGAGUUAAAGCAACUAGAAGGAGGUGUCAGUAACCAAGCUAAGAGAGGCUGGAAGGAAAACAAUUCAUGCAGCAGAAAAGAAAGCCUUUUGAGCAUUGUGAUGUCAGAAGGUGACUUGGAAGAUGAUCUAAAUGUUAAACUGGCAGUGAAGAGUGCCACAUCAUUGUUAUUCCCCCAAGAUCCUGGAUUCCAGACAGCCCAGUGGAGCACCAUAGAAAGAACUUUCAGGAAGCAGAGAAUGGUUCAGGGAUUCUGAUUUUCCUGAACUUCCUCCUCCCUAUCCACCUCCAAUUAGGAAAAAAGAAGAAAAAAAUGAUUAAACGCGUCCAGAAUGUUAAAAA
Pan troglodytes (chimpanzee) is the source of this 573-nucleotide long non-coding RNA. RefSeq lists it as uncharacterized. The record is from RefSeq and is a predicted model, not a curated record. The transcript is spliced from 4 exons. NCBI's taxonomy places the organism in Eukaryota, Metazoa, Chordata, Mammalia, Primates, Hominidae.